Molecule: long non-coding RNA, 1063 nt
Filed under: Chrysolophus pictus (golden pheasant)
Lineage: Eukaryota; Metazoa; Chordata; Aves; Galliformes; Phasianidae
Description: lncRNA (ENSCPIG00010005888.1)
Source: RNAcentral
AUACUGGUGUCAUACUGGGAGCUGGGGGGGUUAUACUGGUGAUACUGGUGCCAUACUGGGAGCUGGGGGGGUUAUACUGGUGAUACUGGUGCCAUACUGGGAGCUGGGGGGGUUAUACUGGUGAUACUGGUGUCAUACUGGGAGCUGGGGGGGUUAUACUGGUGAUACUGGUGCCAUACUGGUGUCAUACUGGGAGCUGGGGGGGUUAUACUGGUGAUACUGGUGCCAUACUGGUGUUAUACUGGUCCUUUACUGGUCCCAUCCCAGUUCCAUACUGGUCUCAUCCCAGUUCCAUCCCAGUUCCAUACUGGUUCCAUCCCAGUUCCAUACUGGUCCCAUCCCCUCCCUACGCCACUUCCGUUGCACUGCGCACUCCUUACGCCGUUUCCGUACCUUUCCGCGCCGUUGCGCCGUUUCCGUAGCGCUCCGUCCGCAUCAUCCCGUUACGCCGUUUGCGUAUCUUCCCGUCCUUCUGCUCUCCCUUACGCCGUUUGCGUAUCUCUCCGUCCUUUUACGCCGUUUCCGUCCCUCCGGUCUCUUUUACGCCUUUUGCGUCCCCCCAUCCCGUUACUCUGUUUCCGUACCUCUCCAUCCCGUUACUCUUUUUGCGUAUCUCCCCAUCCCCCCUUACGCCUUCUGCGUAACUCCCCAUCCCUCUUCUCCGUUUCUCUGUCUCCUCAUCCCCUCACGCAGUUUGCGUACCUCCUCUCCCCGUUACGCCUUUGGCGUAUCCCCCCCAUCCCAUUACGCCUUUUGCGUAACUUCCCAUCCAGUUACUGCAUUUCCAAAACUCCUCAUCCCAUUACGCCUUUUGCGUAUCUCCCCAUCCCGUUACUCCAUCUCCGUACCUCCUCUCCCCUUACGCCAUUUGCGUACCUCCUCCCCCAGUUACUCCGCUUGUAUAUCCCCCCAUCGCGUUACGCCUUUUGCGUAUCUCCCCAUCCCGUUACUCCAUCUCCGUACCUCCUCUCCCCUUACGCCAUUUGCGUACCUCCUCCCCCAGUUACUCCGCUUGUAUAUCCCCCCAUCGCGUUACGCCUUUUGCGUAUCUCCCCAUCCCGUU